Molecule: small nucleolar RNA, 89 nt
Organism: Hemicordylus capensis (graceful crag lizard)
Lineage: Eukaryota; Metazoa; Chordata; Lepidosauria; Squamata; Cordylidae
Product: small nucleolar RNA SNORD70
Exons: 1
Source: RefSeq, a predicted model, not a curated record
AGAUCUGUUGUCGUUGAUGCAUAGCUCAGCAAACUAAAUCUUCGUGAUUGUGCACAACUUAUUGUCACUACCACUGAGACAAUAGAUGG